CCUACGGGAGGCAGCAGUGGGGAAUAUUGCGCAAUGGGCGAAAGCCUGACGCAGCGACGCCGCGUGAGGGAUGAAGGCCUUCGGGUUGUAAACCUCUUUCAGCAGGGACGAAGCGAGAGUGACGGUACCUGCAGAAGAAGCACCGGCCAACUACGUGCCAGCAGCCGCGGUAAUACGUAGGGUGCAAGCGUUGUCCGGAAUUAUUGGGCGUAAAGAGCUCGUAGGCGGUCUGUCGCGUCGGCUGUGAAAACUCGGGGCUCAACCCCGAGCCUGCAGUCGAUACGGGCAGACUAGAGUGCUGUAGGGGAGACUGGAAUUCCUGGUGUAGCGGUGAAAUGCGCAGAUAUCAGGAGGAACACCGGUGGCGAAGGCGGGUCUCUGGGCAGUAACUGACGCUGAGGAGCGAAAGCGUGGGGAGCAAACAGGAUUAGAUACCCUAG
RNAcentral lists this ribosomal RNA (440 nucleotides) under uncultured bacterium. RNAcentral describes it as "bacterial SSU rRNA". It matches the Rfam family "Bacterial small subunit ribosomal RNA", at positions 338 to 790 of the family's 1533-position model. The record is from RNAcentral.